Molecule: long non-coding RNA, 1136 nt
Organism: Passer domesticus (house sparrow)
Lineage: Eukaryota; Metazoa; Chordata; Aves; Passeriformes; Passeridae
Exons: 6
Source: RefSeq, a predicted model, not a curated record
UUUAAUUCACUAUGCAUGGAUAACCCAUUUGUUUAUACUCAGGUUGAGAACAAAGCCAGCUAAUAAGCUUUGCUGUCACCUUAAAUAAAUGGUUUCACAAGAUAAUAACUCCAUGCAGCUACGCCCAAGGGUCAUCAGCAUUUUUAAAGACUCUUUAUGUUUCAGAAAAAGAAGUCACACUGUAAAAGCCAAGAAUACUGUGGGAGAGCUAUUAAAAACUGGUAUUUUGUUUGGAUAUCAAGGUUAAGAGUUACUAGGGACCCAUGGCCACAGAGGCUUUAAGCAGAUCCCCCACCCCAAAAAAGGUGUACACCAGCAAGCCUUCCUUGGAGAAAAGCAAGGCUGGAAAUUGAGCCUUAUCACGAACAUAUGUCCCAGCUCAUCCCCCAUGUGAAACACCUUGAGCUUGAUUGCAGAUAAUAGUCAUAGCCUGUUCAAGCUGACUUGAAAUCCUGCUGAAAGGGCAGCUCUGGCUCCCUUGUCUUGUUUCUCUGUGCCUGUUUAUUGCGUAGUGUUUGUACCAGCACUGCCAGACCCAGAAGUUAUUCUGAAAUGAAAAAAGGCUUGAUAGCCUGAGCUGUCCCUGAAAUGCUACAAUGGGUUCUCCUCCCUCCGCUGCUUUUCAGAAACAGCAGCUGCCCUCUUGCUACACCUACACAUCUCUUUCAUGGGGAAAAAUACCAGUUAGAUAUUUGAUAUCAAACUGGGACACUGCAGUGAUAAGUUGGCAGCUUGUACUCAAGAGUUGAAGAGGAUGCCAACUGUUCAGGCAUUACAGCAUUUACAACAGAACAUAUAACUGCUUACGAUCAUCCUUACAGAUAAAUUCACACCUGAGUAUAAAUGUUGUUGACAUUUACAAGAUCCCAUUUUCUCCUGCUGGAUGUUUUGAAGGAUCUAGCCCAUGCUGCUUCAUCUGCACUGCGAUAUCAAACAAGUAGUCAUAACAUUCACACCUAAAAUAAAUAGGGGAAAAAUGCAAUUGCUGAGGAAUGGAAAGUGCCAUUUUCCUACAUAAUAUUGAUUUGCUGCAUUUCCAUCAGCAGGUGAGGUAAAUUCCAAAAAUGGGACUAGGGAGGGUUACACAAACAGUAUUGGCAGGUGUCAUAUAAAAGCAGAGAUUGCCUGUAUGUUUC